Long non-coding RNA from Phoenix dactylifera (date palm), 215 nucleotides. RefSeq lists it as uncharacterized. Lineage: Eukaryota; Viridiplantae; Streptophyta; Magnoliopsida; Arecales; Arecaceae. The record is from RefSeq and is a predicted model, not a curated record.
UUUUGGUACUAAAAAAACAGCGGCGGUUGUUGCAGUAUGAUCGGGUAUAGAUCUUGGAAAGGACUUUAAUUAGUAUGUUCUAUAUUGACUUGACAGGAACAUGGUUUCAGGACAGGCAGUCCGGCUGGACGACUUGACUCCCACGAUCUAGAUGAGUCUUUGGAGCUGUGGAAUGUGAUAGAGAACCAAACCAUGACGGUCCAGGCACACGAAGG